RNAcentral lists this ribosomal RNA (1021 nucleotides) under Pseudoalteromonas mariniglutinosa. Its description in RNAcentral is "bacterial SSU rRNA". It matches the Rfam family "Bacterial small subunit ribosomal RNA", at positions 38 to 1052 of the family's 1533-position model. The record is from RNAcentral. Lineage: Bacteria; Pseudomonadati; Pseudomonadota; Gammaproteobacteria; Alteromonadales; Pseudoalteromonadaceae.
GGGGGGGCAGCUUACACAUGCAAGUCGAGCGGUAACAGGAGAAGCUUGCUUCUCGCUGACGAGCGGCGGACGGGUGAGUAAUACUUAGGAAUCUACCUAGUAGUGGGGGAUAGCACGGGGAAACUCGUAUUAAUACCGCAUACGACCUACGGGAGAAAGGGGGCAGUUUACUGCUCUCGCUAUUAGAUGAGCCUAAGUCGGAUUAGCUAGAUGGUGGGGUAAAGGCCUACCAUGGCGACGAUCUGUAGCUGGUCUGAGAGGAUGAUCAGCCACACCGGGACUGAGACACGGCCCGGACUCCUACGGGAGGCAGCAGUGGGGAAUAUUGGACAAUGGGGGAAACCCUGAUCCAGCCAUGCCGCGUGUGUGAAGAAGGCCUUUUGGUUGUAAAGCACUUUAAGCAGUGAAGAAGACUCCAUGGUUAAUACCCAUGGACGAUGACAUUAGCUGCAGAAUAAGCACCGGCUAACUCUGUGCCAGCAGCCGCGGUAAUACAGAGGGUGCAAGCGUUAAUCGGAAUUACUGGGCGUAAAGGGAGCGUAGGUGGCUCUAUAAGUCAGAUGUGAAAUCCCCGGGCUUAACCUGGGAACUGCAUCUGAAACUGUAGAGCUAGAGUAUGUGAGAGGAAGGUAGAAUUCCAGGUGUAGCGGUGAAAUGCGUAGAGAUCUGGAGGAAUACCGAUGGCGAAGGCAGCCUUCUGGCAUAAUACUGACACUGAGGCUCGAAAGCGUGGGUAGCAAACAGGAUUAGAUACCCUGGUAGUCCACGCCGUAAACGAUGUCUACUAGUCGUUGGGUCCCUUGAGGACUUAGUGACGCAGCUAACGCAAUAAGUAGACCGCCUGGGGAGUACGGCCGCAAGGUUAAAACUCAAAUGAAUUGACGGGGGCCCGCACAAGCGGUGGAGCAUGUGGUUUAAUUCGAUGCAACGCGAAGAACCUUACCUGGUCUUGACAUAUCUAGAAUCCUGCAGAGAUGCGGGAGUGCCUUCGGGAAUUAGAAUACAGGUGCUGCAUGGCUGU